UUGGUUGUGCACUUAUCGUUUUUAUCGAGAAACCAAGAUUCAUUUAUGUCUUUUACAAAAAGGGCAUACAAAAAGGGACGCAGUAGCUACUACGUCUACGUAGACGUGUCCAAAAAGAAUAUUAAAAAAUACUAGAAUUUUCAUCAGUACAUAUAGAAAAAAAAUCGAAUGUUGGAACUUCUAAGAGAAAUGAUUUCUUAUCUUGCGAAAAUCUAAAAGAAUAUUUUGACCAUUGUGAGUCAUUGAUUUUGUACAAUGAAUACUCUUAUGACCAAAAGCCUAAUCAUUAGGCUAAUGAGUCAUUGAAUUACUCAUUAGGCUAAUGAGUAUAAGCAUAACCCAACUUUAAAGGAAUGUUUUUCUAACCAAGUAAUUAUGCACUAAACAAGUGGAUUGACAAAGAAUAGCAACAAAUUUAUUGUCCCAAAAAAAAACUAUAAUCAUGCACUGAAAAACAACCUUUUGUCAACAAAAGAAUGGCACAAAUUUCCAUUGAUAAAGUGUAAGAUAACAGAUAGUCAGUAUCUAACUUGUUUUGUGUUUUUUUAAAGGUAACUUAAUUACUUUUUUGUAGCAAAAUAUUUUAUAAUUAGAUUCAUUUUCAUGUUGUGAAGAAUACAACUUUCUACAUCAGAUGAAAUAUAUGUUAAAGAAAGCAUUAAAAAUAAGAAUAACAAAUCAUACCGCUCUUCAUUGCCAGAACCUCCGCCACCUAUUAUGAAUAAGCCCAAUGCUAAAAAGUUGUUAUCAUAUUCAAAGAUUGAAGAAGAUAUUUUUUCUUCACAUUUUAUUGAUGAACAGAAUAAAACCAAGCAAAGUUCACAUUGUCAAAGAGUUUCAAGUUUUAAUAUGAGUAUUUUUGGUUUUUA
Non-coding RNA from Hydra vulgaris (swiftwater hydra), 869 nucleotides. The record is from RefSeq and is a predicted model, not a curated record. Lineage: Eukaryota; Metazoa; Cnidaria; Hydrozoa; Anthoathecata; Hydridae.